ACCGCAGCCGAUGAUCAUGAAUCUGAACGGAUUUCUUUAACCGUGCAUGUGCUCAGCCUCCAUAGGUAUCCACAUGAGGACUCAUUCCGAUCAGAGGUAGGUGUCUUUAGUAGGGUGCUAGCUCCCUUACAGAAGACUUCUCUUUGAUGGCUAAGGUUGUUCUCUCACAGAUCUCACAAACUCUCUUAAGAACUAGGAAGAACGGGAGGAGGAA
RNAcentral lists this long non-coding RNA (214 nucleotides) under Elaeis guineensis (African oil palm). Its description in RNAcentral is "long non-coding RNA (EGUI_LNC072855)". The record is from RNAcentral. Lineage: Eukaryota; Viridiplantae; Streptophyta; Magnoliopsida; Arecales; Arecaceae.